Molecule: microRNA, 22 nt
Filed under: Anas platyrhynchos (mallard)
Lineage: Eukaryota; Metazoa; Chordata; Aves; Anseriformes; Anatidae
Description: apl-miR-11590-3p
Source: miRBase by way of RNAcentral
GCUGGAUGCAAGGACUGGAUCC